GAUGAACGCUGGCGGCGUGCCUAAUACAUGCAAGUCGAGCGAACAGAUGAGGAUCUUGCUCCUCUUACGUUAGCGGCGGACGGGUGAGUAACACGUGGAUAACCUACCUAUAAGACUGGGAUAACUUCGGGAAACCGGAUCUAAUACCGGAUAAUAUAUUGAACCGCAUGGUUCAAUAGUGAAAGACGGUUUUGCUGUCACUUAUAGAUGGAUCCGCGCCGCAUUAGCUAGUUGGUAAGGUAACGGCUUACCAAGGCAACGAUGCGUAGCCGACCUGAGAGGGUGAUCGGCCACACUGGAACUGAGACACGGUCCAGACUCCUACGGGAGGCAGCAGUAGGGAAUCUUCCGCAAUGGGCGAAAGCCUGACGGAGCAACGCCGCGUGAGUGAUGAAGGUCUUCGGAUCGUAAAACUCUGUUAUUAGGGAAGAACAAAUGUGUAAGUAACUAUGCACGUCUUGACGGUACCUAAUCAGAAAGCCACGGCUAACUACGUG
This 497-nucleotide ribosomal RNA is filed under the name uncultured bacterium. RNAcentral describes it as "partial 16S ribosomal RNA". It matches the Rfam family "Bacterial small subunit ribosomal RNA", at positions 28 to 507 of the family's 1533-position model. The record is from RNAcentral.